UGGGGAAUAUUGGACAAUGGGCGAAAGCCUGAUCCAGCCAUGCCGCGUGUGUGAAGAAGGUCUUCGGAUUGUAAAGCACUUUAAGUUGGGAGGAAGGGCAUUAACCUAAUACGUUAGUGUUUUGACGUUACCGACAGAAUAAGCACCGGCUAACUCUGUGCCAGCAGCCGCGGUAAUACAGAGGGUGCAAGCGUUAAUCGGAAUUACUGGGCGUAAAGCGCGCGUAGGUGGUUUGUUAAGUUGGAUGUGAAAGACCCGGGCUCAACCUGGGAACUGCAUCCAAAACUGGCAAGCUAGAGUACGGUAGAGGGUGGUGGAAUUUCCUGUGUAGCGGUGAAAUGCGUAGAUAUAGGAAGGAACACCAGUGGCGAAGGCGACCACCUGGACUGAUACUGACACUGAGGUGCGAAAGCGUGGGGAGCAAACA
This 427-nucleotide ribosomal RNA is filed under the name uncultured bacterium. Its description in RNAcentral is "partial 16S ribosomal RNA". It matches the Rfam family "Bacterial small subunit ribosomal RNA", at positions 355 to 774 of the family's 1533-position model. The record is from RNAcentral.